This 252-nucleotide ribosomal RNA is filed under the name Caecibacter massiliensis. Its description in RNAcentral is "partial 16S ribosomal RNA". It matches the Rfam family "Bacterial small subunit ribosomal RNA", at positions 524 to 776 of the family's 1533-position model. The record is from RNAcentral. Lineage: Bacteria; Bacillati; Bacillota; Negativicutes; Veillonellales; Veillonellaceae.
UACGUAGGUGGCAAGCGUUGUCCGGAAUUAUUGGGCGUAAAGGGCGCGCAGGCGGUCUCUUAAGUCUGUCUUAAAAGUGCGGGGCUCAACCCCGUGAGGGGACGGAAACUGGGAGACUGGAGUAUCGGAGAGGAAAGCAGAAUUCCUAGUGUAGCGGUGAAAUGCGUAGAUAUUAGGAGGAAUACCAGUGGCGAAAGCGGCUUUCUGGACGACAACUGACGCUGAGGCACGAAAGCCAGGGGAGCGAACGGG